CUGUCGGGAAAGUGUCUGUGUGUCUCUGUGUGUGUAUGCAGAGGUGUGCACGUCUUUGUGCAGUUGUGCGUGUGUGCGCACAGCCGUGGGUGCGAGCGCUUCUCCCGCGCACGCCAGGGCUGGCCUUUGUGUCCGCGGGUAGAUAAAAGCGGAAAAUCCGCAGACUCUGAGGCCCAGCCACAGCGGCGCCCCUGCGUGAGGACAGCGAGAGAUUCCAGAAGCCUAGCCAGGCCUUCGCCCUUUGCUCCACCCUCCCCGCCCCCGCCCUUCUGGAGAGAUACCACCCAACUGCAGAACGGGGACAGGAAGAAGGGGUGGGGGCGGGCAGCGGACUGCAACUCGGAAGAGCUGAUGAGAGUGGAAAGGGUACGGGAGGGGCAGGCCGAAAGAGGAAGCGGUGAGAACUGGAGAUAAGGCGGUGUGUGCGUGUGUGUGUUUUGAACCCCAGACCAAUCACAAGCCAGGGAAGUGUUGGAACACUACACUACACUAUCUCCAUUCCCAGUUGGCGAGGUGAUGGCGCCCUCUCAUCCAUUCCUAUCAUUGUGACACCGUUUGCCCCGAAGUCCUGAGCAAAACUGUUUUCAAACAGUGCCACGUCCUUGAAGCUCCAGAACUAAAUAAACUUCUUUAUAAACAUCCA
Molecule: long non-coding RNA, 643 nt
Organism: Chionomys nivalis (European snow vole)
Lineage: Eukaryota; Metazoa; Chordata; Mammalia; Rodentia; Cricetidae
Exons: 3
Source: RefSeq, a predicted model, not a curated record